AGUCUGACCUGCCCAAUGAUGAUUUAAAUGGCUGCAGUAUCCUAACUGUACAAAGGUAGCAUAAUAAUUUGUUUUAUAAUUGAAGAAUGGAAUGAAUGGUUUGACGAGGGUGUAGCUGUCUCUUAUAUAUUUGUUUGAAGUUAAUUUUUAGGUUAAAAGGCUUAAAUUAAAUUAAAGGACGAGAAGACCCUAUUGAGCUUAAAUUAAUAAUGAUGUUAGUAAAAAAUGAUUGAGAUUAAUUAUAGAAUUAGUGUAGUUUUAGUUGGGGCGACUAAGGGAUAAAUGAAGCUCCCUUUAAUAUUUCAUAAAGUUGUUUAUUGAUCCAAUUUUUUUGAAUUAAAAUCAAGUUACCAUAGGGAUAACAGCGUUAUCUUUUUUGAGAGUUCUAAUCGAAAAAUGGGAUUGCGACCUCGAUGUUGGAUUAAGAUUUAAUAAAGGUUGUAGAAGCUUUUAUGAUUAGUCUGUUCGA
This 469-nucleotide ribosomal RNA is filed under the name Palaina sp. CE. RNAcentral's name for it is "partial 16S ribosomal RNA". It matches the Rfam family "Bacterial large subunit ribosomal RNA", at positions 1851 to 2584 of the family's 2925-position model. The record is from RNAcentral. Lineage: Eukaryota; Metazoa; Mollusca; Gastropoda; Architaenioglossa; Diplommatinidae.